UUGAACGCUGGCGGCAGGCCUAACACAUGCAAGUCGAGCGGCAGCGCGGGGCAACCUGGCGGCGAGCGGCGGACGGGUGAGUAACGCGUAGGAAUCUACCCAGUAGCGGGGGAUAGCCCGGGGAAACUCGGAUUAAUACCGCAUACGCCCUAAGGGGGAAAGCAGGGGAUCGUAAGACCUUGCACUAUUGGAAGAGCAUGCGUUGGAUUAGCUAGUUGGUAGGGUAAAGGCCUACCAAGGCGACGAUCCAUAACUGGUCUGAGAGGAUGAUCAGUCACACCGGAACUGAGACACGGUCCGGACUCCUACGGGAGGCAGCAGUGGGGAAUAUUGGACAAUGGGGGCAACCCUGAUCCAGCCAUGCCGCGUGUGUGAAGAAGGCCUUCGGGUUGUAAAGCACUUUAAGUGGGGAGAAGGGUUCGGCAGCUAAUACCUGCCGGAAGUGAUGUUACCCACAGAAUAAGCACCGGCUAACUCUGUGCCAGCAGCCGCGGUAA
This 497-nucleotide ribosomal RNA is filed under the name uncultured bacterium. RNAcentral describes it as "partial 16S ribosomal RNA". It matches the Rfam family "Bacterial small subunit ribosomal RNA", at positions 29 to 523 of the family's 1533-position model. The record is from RNAcentral.